AUUCUCAGGGCAGGGCGAAAUUCCCUACCGGUGGUAAAUAUGUUUAAACAUAAAGCCCACGAGCGUUUGCCUUUAUAGGCAAAGUCAGCAGAUUUGGUGUAAUUCCAAAGCCGACAGUAAAAGUCUGGAUGAAAGAGAAU
Molecule: non-coding RNA, 140 nt
Filed under: Aggregatibacter segnis
Lineage: Bacteria; Pseudomonadati; Pseudomonadota; Gammaproteobacteria; Pasteurellales; Pasteurellaceae
Description: FMN riboswitch (RFN element)
Rfam family: FMN riboswitch aptamer (RFN element)
About the family: The RFN element is a highly conserved domain that is found frequently in the 5'-untranslated regions of prokaryotic mRNAs that encode for flavin mononucleotide (FMN) biosynthesis and transport proteins. This element is a metabolite-dependent riboswitch that directly binds FMN in the absence of proteins.
Source: RNAcentral